RNAcentral lists this ribosomal RNA (263 nucleotides) under uncultured bacterium. RNAcentral describes it as "partial 16S ribosomal RNA". It matches the Rfam family "Bacterial small subunit ribosomal RNA", at positions 793 to 1055 of the family's 1533-position model. The record is from RNAcentral.
GUCCACGCCCUAAACGAUGUCGACUGGUUGUUGGGGUUUGACACUCUCAGUAACGAAGCUAACGCGUGAAGUCGACCGCCUGGGGAGUACGGCCGCAAGGUUAAAACUCAAAGGAAUUGACGGGGACCCGCACAAGCGGUGGAUUAUGUGGAUUAAUUCGAUGCAACGCGAAAACCUUACCUACCCUUGACAUGUCCGAGAGCCCGUAGAGAUAUGGGUGUGCCCGAAAGGGAAUCGGAACACAGGUGCUGCAUGGCUGUCGU